RNAcentral lists this ribosomal RNA (286 nucleotides) under uncultured Porphyromonadaceae bacterium. Its description in RNAcentral is "partial 16S ribosomal RNA". It matches the Rfam family "Bacterial small subunit ribosomal RNA", at positions 355 to 639 of the family's 1533-position model. The record is from RNAcentral. Lineage: Bacteria; Pseudomonadati; Bacteroidota; Bacteroidia; Bacteroidales; Porphyromonadaceae.
UGAGGAAUAUUGGUCAAUGGGCGCAGGCCUGAACCAGCCAAGUCGCGUGAGGGAUGACGGUCCUACGGAUUGUAAACCUCUUUUGUCGGGGAGUAACGUGCGGGACGGGUCCCGUAUUGAGAGUACCCGAAGAAAAAGCAUCGGCUAACUCCGUGCCAGCAGCCGCGGUAAUACGGAGGAUGCGAGCGUUAUCCGGAUUUAUUGGGUUUAAAGGGUGCGCAGGCGGCGCGCCAAGUCAGCGGUCAAAGUUCCGGGCUCAACCCGGUGUCGCCGUUGAAACUGGCGG